AGCGGAGUAGAGCAGCCUGGAGUGCUCAUCGGGCCCAUAACCCGAAGGCCGGUGGUUCAAAUCCACCCUCCGCUA
This 75-nucleotide transfer RNA is filed under the name Candidatus Aenigmatarchaeota archaeon. Its description in RNAcentral is "tRNA-Met". It matches the Rfam family "tRNA". From Rfam's summary of the family: Transfer RNA (tRNA) molecules are approximately 80 nucleotides in length. Their secondary structure includes four short double-helical elements and three loops (D, anti-codon, and T loops). Further hydrogen bonds mediate the characteristic L-shaped molecular structure. tRNAs have two regions of fundamental functional importance: the anti-codon, which is responsible for specific mRNA codon recognition, and the 3' end, to which the tRNAs corresponding amino acid is attached (by aminoacyl-tRNA synthetases). tRNAs cope with the degeneracy of the genetic code in two manners: having more than one tRNA (with a specific anti-codon) for a particular amino acid; and 'wobble' base-pairing, i.e. permitting non-standard base-pairing at the 3rd anti-codon position. Lineage: Archaea; Nanobdellati; Candidatus Aenigmatarchaeota. The record is from RNAcentral.